Molecule: unclassified non-coding RNA, 334 nt
Filed under: soil metagenome
Description: partial contains 5.8S ribosomal RNA, internal transcribed spacer 2, and large subunit ribosomal RNA
Rfam family: 5.8S ribosomal RNA (bases 1-120)
Source: RNAcentral
GAUGAAGAACGCAGCGAAAUGCGAUAAGUAAUGUGAAUUGCAGAAUUCAGUGAAUCAUCGAAUCUUUGAACGCACAUUGCGCCCGCCAGUAUUCUGGCGGGCAUGCCUGUUCGAGCGUCAUUUCAACCAUCAAGCCCCCGGCUUGUGUUGGGGACCUGCGGCUGCCGCAGGCCCUGAAAACCAGUGGCGGGCUCGCUAGUCACUCCGAGCGUAGUAAUACAUCUCGCUCAGGGCGUGCUGCGGGUUCCGGCCGUUAAAAAGCCUUAUUUACCCAAGGUUGACCUCGGAUCAGGUAGGAAGACCCGCUGAACUUAAGCAUAUCAAUAAGCGGGGA